UAGUUUUUCGUACGUAGGCGCCAUGAAUGGCGAAUUGUGCAUGCUGCUAGCACGAACCAGCAGUAUCUUUUGAAUAUUUCUA
This is a non-coding RNA of Glossina morsitans morsitans, 82 nucleotides long. The record is from Rfam. NCBI's taxonomy places the organism in Eukaryota, Metazoa, Arthropoda, Insecta, Diptera, Glossinidae.